AGAGCAAUGGGUGAAUGCCUUGGUAUUAGGAGCCGAUGAAGGACGUAGAAAGCUGCGAAAAGCUACGGGGAGACGCACACAGUUAGUGAUCCGUAGAUGUCCGAAUGGGGAAACCCAGCUGAGAAAAGCUCAGUUAUCCAUAGUUGAAUAAAAUAGGCUAUGGAGGGGAAACGUUGUGAACUGAAACAUCUAAGUAGCAACAGGAGGAGAAAGAAAACUCGAUUUCCUGAGUAGUGGCGAGCGAAAGGGAAACAGGCCAAACCAAACCAAGCAAUUGGAUUGGGGUUACGGACUGCAGACGUUAUUGAGAGAAGAUAGUCGAAUUGUAUUGGGAAAGCAAACCAAAGAUGGUGAAAGUCCAGUAGACGAAAUUGGAAAUCAGACAGCAGUAUCCAGAGUACCACGGGACACGAGAAACCCUGUGGGAAGUCGGGGGGACCACCCCCCAAGCCUAAAUACUCCCUAAUGACCGAUAGUGAAUAAGUACUGUGAAGGAAAGGUGAAAAGAACCCCGGGAGGGGAGUGAAAGAGAACCUGAAACCCAUUGUUUACAGACGUCGGGAGUCAACUUAGGUUGACAACCGAGUACUUUUUGUAGAACGGUCCGGCGAGUUACGUUAGUAAGCGAGGUUAAGUGCUUAAGGCACGAAGCCGAAGGGAAACCAAGUCUGAAUAGGGCGACAAAGUUUGCUGGCGUAGACCCGAAACCAGGUGACCUAUCCAUGGUCAGGUUGAAGUUACCGUAAAAGGUAAUGGAGGACCGAACCCACAUAUGUUGAAAAAUAUGGGGAUGAACUGUGGAUAGCGGAGAAAUUCCAAUCGAACCUGGAGAUAGCUGGUUCUCCUCGAAAUAGCUUUAGGGCUAGCCUUGAUAAGAGUCUAAUGGAGGUAAAGCACUGAACUGGUGCGGGGUCCUAACGGAUUACCAAUCCAAAUCAAACUAAGAAUGCCAUCGAGAUACUAUCAGGAGUCAGACUAUGUGAGAUAAGUUUCAUAGUCGAAAGGGAAAGAGCCCAGACCAACAGCUAAGGUCCCAAAGUACAUGUUAAGUGGAAAAGGAUGUGAGAUUUCAAAGACAACUAGGAUGUUGGCUCAGAAGCAGCCAUUCAUUUAAAGAGUGCGUAACAGCUCACUAGUCGAGAGGUCUUGCGCCGAAAAUGUCCGGGGCUAAAACAUGUCACCGAAGCUAUGGAUUUCAUACUAAGUAUGGAGUGGUAGAGGAGCAAAUUGCAAGGAAGAAGCCUAACUGUAAGGAAAGGUGGACGAAGCAAAAGAGAGAAUGCCGGAAUGAGUAGCGAGAUACAUGUGAGAAUCAUGUAGGGCGAAUGUCUAAGGAUUCCUGAGUAAAGCUGAUCUACUCAGGGUAAGUCGGGACCUAAGGCGAGGACGAAAGUCGUAGUCGAUGGACAACAGGUAGAAAUUCCUGUACUGCAUAUAUUCAGAACUGUGGGGACACAGGAGGAUAGGAAAACCGGGAAAAGGAAAUGCCCGGCCAAGCACAAAGUUUAGGAUGGUAGGAAAAUCCGCCGUUUGAUGAUGAAGUGUGAUGGGGAGUGAAGAAUAGUAGCGAAGUUUUUGAAUCCACACUGUCGAGAAAAUCCACUAUUGCGAUAUAUGCACCCGUACCGUAAACCGACACAGGUAGACGAGGAGAAAAUCCACAGCCCGACGGGAGAAGUGUUGUUAAGGAACUCGGCAAAAUGACCCCGUAACUUAGGGAUAAGGGGUACCAACGCAAGUUGGUCACAGAGAAGAGGCCCAAGCGACUGUUUAACAAAAACACAGGUCUAUGCGAAACCGAAAGGUGAUGUAUAUGGGCUGACGCCUGCCCGGUGCUGGAAGGUUAAGGGGAGAGGUUAGGAGUAAUCCGAAGCUUUGAACUCAAGCCCCAGUAAACGGCGGCCGUAACAAUAACGGUCCUAAGGUAGCGAAAUUCCUUGUCAGGUAAGUUCUGACCCGCACGAAAGGCGUAACGAUUUGGGCACUGUCUCAACAACACACCCGGUGAAAUUGGAAUAUCAGUGAAGAUACUGAUGACCCGCGAUAGGACGGAAAGACCCCAUGGAGCUUUACUGCAGCUUAAUAUUGGGAUUUGGUAUUGCAUGUACAGGAUAGGAGGGAGACUAGGAAGUAUAAACGCCAGUUUAUAUGGAGUCGAUGUUGGGAUACCUCUCUUGCAAUACUGGAUUUCUAACUUGUAGCCAUUAUCUGGCUAAAGGACAUUGUUAGGCGGGCAGUUUGACUGGGGCGGUCGCCUCCGAAAGAGUAACGGAGGCGCUCAAAGGUCACCUCAGAAUGAUUGGAAACCAUUCGUAGAGUGUAAAGGCAGAAGGUGGCUUAACUGCGAGUGCGACGGCACGAGCAGGUACGAAAGUAGGACUUAGUGAUCCGGUGGUAAUAAGUGGGAAUGCCAUCGCUCAACGGAUAAAAGCUACCCUGGGGAUAACAGGCUUAUCUCCCCCAAGAGUUCACAUCGACGGGGAGGUUUGGCACCUCGAUGUCGGCUCAUCGCAUCCUGGGGCUGAAGAAGGUCCCAAGGGUUGGGCUGUUCGCCCAUUAAAGCGGUACGCGAGCUGGGUUCAGAACGUCGUGAGACAGUUCGGUCCCUAUCCGUCGUGGGCGUAGGAAAUUUGAGAAGAGCUGACCUUAGUACGAGAGGACCGGGUUGGACGAAUCAAUGGUGUAUUUGUUGGUCACCAAGGCCAUGGCAAAGUAGCUAAAUUCGGAACGGAUAAACGCUGAAGGCAUCUAAGCGUGAAGCCGCCUUUAAGACAAGAUUUCCCAUGCCGCAAGGUAGUAAGGCCCCUUGA
This 2810-nucleotide ribosomal RNA is filed under the name Simulium sp. Sim Corn. RNAcentral's name for it is "bacterial LSU rRNA". It matches the Rfam family "Bacterial large subunit ribosomal RNA". The record is from RNAcentral. Lineage: Eukaryota; Metazoa; Arthropoda; Insecta; Diptera; Simuliidae.